CCUACGGGAGGCAGCAGUGAGGAAUAUUGGUCAAUGGGCGCGAGCCUGAACCAGCCAAGUAGCGUGAAGGAUGACUGCCCUACGGGUUGUAAACUUCUUUUAUAAAGGAAUAAAGUGAGGCACGUGUGCCUUUUUGUAUGUACUUUAUGAAUAAGGAUGGGCUAACUCCGUGCCAGCAGCCGCGGUAAUACGGAGGAUCCGAGCGUUAUCCGGAUUUAUUGGGUGUAAAGGGGGCGUAGAUGGGUUGUUAAGUCAGUUGUGAAAGGUUGCGGCUCAACUGUAAAAUUGCAAUUGAUACUGGCAGUCUUGAGUACAGGUGAGGUAGGCGGAAUUCGUGGUGUAGCGGUGAAAUGCUUAGAUAUCACGAAGAACUCUGAUUGCGAAGGCAGCUUACUAAACUGCCACUGACAUUGAUGCUCGAAAGUGUGGGUAUCAAACAGGAUUAGAUACCCUGGUAGUC
This 460-nucleotide ribosomal RNA is filed under the name uncultured bacterium. Its description in RNAcentral is "partial 16S ribosomal RNA". It matches the Rfam family "Bacterial small subunit ribosomal RNA", at positions 338 to 795 of the family's 1533-position model. The record is from RNAcentral.